CAUGGGAAAGCCUCCCCUCCUGUGGCCAAUAAUCCACACCCGCGACUGCUGAAAAUCAGUCACAUUUCUUCACUAACUUCAUGUCCCAAAAAAUUUUUAAUGGAUCUUCUACUUGGAUCAGAAGCCUUGUCAUCAAACUGUUCCAUCAUUCCAUCAAAAAGUCUUCUGUCAUUACUGAAAAGCAUGUUCAAAGUUGACUCUUCAGAUGCACCUUGUCUUCUUACCUAACCACUCUGCAACCUUGUUACCUUGUUCACCCUCUGCCUUGGUACUGCCCUCCUUAAAGCAGGCUGCCUGCCAUGUCUGUGUUGUUAAGAAGAGAAAUGGGAAGUAUUCACAGAUUAACUGCAGGGAGGUCAAUAAACAGACAUUGGACCAGGAAACAGCUGGAGAACGUGAUAGUCACACCUGCUGCAUUGGAUCUGUCGCACAGGUUGUGAACUUUGACAGCAAAUGGCUUAUUUCAUAUGUAUUUGUGCAGCACAUCUCAUCAUGAGGGGCUUGAUCUGGGGUUUAGUGGAUAUAACUGUGUCUUGGAAACUCAGAGCAGCCUGCAGAUAUCAACUAAUGAAAUGCCUCCACAACAUUUAUAUGCAGAGUUGAUAACAAUGUGUUCACCACACACUGGCUUUGGAAAUGCCUUGGAAAUUGAAUAGAGCUUUAUUUAAAGGGUAAGAGAAGUAAUAAUCAUGAGCUGACAAUGAACAACAUACAAGGCAGGUGUUACCACCACCUUACACGUGUAGCAGACAUCCCUUUCCUCAGGAUGUUACAAGCUGGAGUGCUAUUUUAAUCAGCUAAAACUGUUGUGUGGAAUGUAGAAAAGCAUGAUUUUGUUAUCAAAACUGUUCUGAACAAGCUGGAGUGAAAAAUCAGCUUAAAAAAAUUAUCAUAAAUCUUAUUUAAAAAACAGUUUUGGAUUACAUGAUUUUUAAUUGUUUCAACAGUUCUGGUCAAUGCCUUAGCUUUGAAGGGAGACAUGAGGCAAUGGAAAGCACUCUGAGUUGCAGGCAGAUGCCAGCCACUGCAGUGGACAUUCCUGUUCUCUGAAGUGGUGCUCAAGUCGAGUAGGAAGAAUGAACCAAGCAAUGGCUCUGUCAGCCAAUUUGACUCCAACUGGGAAUUUCAAUGGAAUGAGUGCACUUCUAUGCAAUAUUGAUCUCACUUAAGCAGCCCUUUCUGAUGGGCAUCCUUUCUACUGAAAUGUGCUUGCACCGUCCCAUAGUUCUCUCCCUUGGACCCUGCCAUGGCUAAGGCUGUAUGGUCAUUGCAGUGGCCAUCUUCUCUUAUUCCAACAGCAUAUGUAGGAAGUUACCUGAAGCAAAUAGAUGAAUAAAGAAAAAUUAUCAAGGUGUGGUGGGCUAAUA
This 1367-nucleotide long non-coding RNA is filed under the name Serinus canaria (Common canary). Its description in RNAcentral is "lncRNA (ENSSCAG00000007575.1)". Lineage: Eukaryota; Metazoa; Chordata; Aves; Passeriformes; Fringillidae. The record is from RNAcentral.